GUGGGGAAUAUUGGGCAAUGGGCGCAAGCCUGACCCAGCGACGCCGCGUGGGGGAAGAAGUCUUUCGGGAUGUAAACCCUUGUUGUACGGGACGAAACGAAUGACGGUACCGUACGAGGAAGUCCCGGCAAACUACGUGCCAGCAGCCGCGGUAAUACGUAGGGGGCGAGCGUUGUCCGGAAUUACUGGGCGUAAAGCGCACGUAGGCGGGCUGUCAAGUCGGCCGUGAAAGGCACUGGCCCAACCGGUGUUUGUCGGUCGAUACUGGCGGUCUGGAGUAUGGGAGAGGGAACUGGAAUUCCCGGGGUAGCGGUGAAAUGCGUAGAUAUCGGGAGGAACACCCGUGGCGAAGGCGGGUUCCUGGCCCAUUACUGACGCUGAGGUGCGAAAGCCGGGGGAGCGAACGGGAUUAGAAACCCGGGUAGUCC
Molecule: ribosomal RNA, 428 nt
Filed under: uncultured bacterium
Lineage: Bacteria
Description: partial 16S ribosomal RNA
Rfam family: Bacterial small subunit ribosomal RNA
Source: RNAcentral